GAUGAACGCUAGCGGCAGGCUUAAUACAUGCAAGUCGAGGGGCAGCGGGGUAGCAAUACCGCCGGCGACCGGCAAACGGGUGCGGAACACGUACAGAACCUUCCUUUAAGCGGGGGAUAGCCCGGAGAAAUCCGGAUUAAUACCCCAUAUUAAUGUUUAAUGGCAUCAUUAGAUAUUUAAAGAUUUAUCACUUAAAGAUGGCUGUGCGGCUGAUUAGGUAGUUGGUGUGGGUAC
This 234-nucleotide ribosomal RNA is filed under the name uncultured bacterium. Its description in RNAcentral is "partial 16S ribosomal RNA". It matches the Rfam family "Bacterial small subunit ribosomal RNA", at positions 28 to 261 of the family's 1533-position model. The record is from RNAcentral.